This 789-nucleotide ribosomal RNA is filed under the name uncultured bacterium. Its description in RNAcentral is "bacterial SSU rRNA". It matches the Rfam family "Bacterial small subunit ribosomal RNA", at positions 8 to 796 of the family's 1533-position model. The record is from RNAcentral.
AGAGUUUGAUCCUGGCUCAGGAUGAACGCUAGCGGCAGGCCUAAUACAUGCAAGUCGAACGGUAAAUACUUCAGCAAUGAAGUAUGAGAGUGACGUACGGGUGCGUAACACGUAUGCAACCUACCCUUUACAGGAGUAUAGCUCGGGGAAACCCGGAUUAAUCCUCCAUAAUAUCAUUGGAUGGCAUCAUUUGAUGAUUAAAGAUUUAUCGGUAAAGGAUGGGCAUGCGUCUGAUUAGCUAGUUGGUAGUGUAAUGGACUACCAAGGCGAUGAUCAGUAGGGGAACUGAGAGGUUGAUCCCCCACACUGGCACUGAGAUACGGGCCAGACUCCUACGGGAGGCAGCAGUAGGGAAUAUUGGUCAAUGGGUGAGAGCCUGAACCAGCCAUGCCGCGUGCAGGAAGACGGCCUUCUGGGUUGUAAACUGCUUUUACCAGGGGAUAAAAUUUCCAUGCGUGGAAAAUUGAAGGUACCUGGUGAAUAAGCCACGGCUAACUACGUGCCAGCAGCCGCGGUAAUACGUAGGUGGCGAGCGUUGUCCGGAUUUAUUGGGUUUAAAGGGUGCGUAGGCGGCCCUGUAAGUCAGUGCUGAAAUAUCCCGGCUUAACCGGGAGGGUGGCAUUGAUACUGUGGGGCUAGAGUACAGAUGAGGUAGGCGGAAUUGACGGUAGCGGUGAAAUGCUUAGAUAUCGUCAAGAACACCGAUAGCGAAGGCAGCUUACUGGACUGAAACUGACGCUGAUGCACGAAAGUGUGGGGAUCAAACAGGAUUAGAUACCCUAGUAGUCC